This 451-nucleotide ribosomal RNA is filed under the name uncultured bacterium. RNAcentral describes it as "partial 16S ribosomal RNA". It matches the Rfam family "Bacterial small subunit ribosomal RNA", at positions 28 to 507 of the family's 1533-position model. The record is from RNAcentral.
GAUGAAUGCUGGCGGCGUGCCUAACACAUGCAAGUCGAGCGGCAGCGAGGGGUGCUUGCACCCUGUCGGCGAGCGGCGAACGGCUGAGUAACGCGUAGGAAUUUGCCCCAAAGUGAGGAAUAACUGCCCGAAAGGGUAGCUAAUGCCGCAUAUGGUCUUCGGAUUAAAGGAUUUAUCCGCUUUGGGAGAAGCCUGCGUUGGAUUAGGUUGUUGGUAGGGUAAUGGCCUACCAAGCCGACGAUCCAUAGCUGGUCUGAGAGGAUGAUCAGCCAGACUGGAACUGAGACACGGUCCAGACUCCUACGGGAGGCAGCAGUGAGGAAUCUUCCACAAUGGGCGAAAGCCUGAUGGAGCAACGCCGCGUGAAGGAUGAAGGCGUUCGGGUUGUAAACUUCUUUUAUGAGUGAAGAAUAUGACGGUAACUAAUGAAUAAGCACCGGCUAACUACGUG